CACUCCUGCGGGAGGCAGCAGUGGGGAAUUUUGGACAAUGGGCGAAAGCCUGAUCCAGCAAUGCCGCGUGAGUGAAGAAGGCCUUCGGGUUGUAAAGCUCUUUUGUCAGGGAAGAAACGGUGAAAGCUAAUAUCUUUUGCUAAUGACGGUACCUGAAGAAUAAGCACCGGCUAACUACGUGCCAGCAGCCGCGGUAAUACGUAGGGUGCAAGCGUUAAUCGGAAUUACUGGGCGUAAAGCGUGCGCAGGCGGUUUUGUAAGUCUUAUGUGAAAUCCCCGGGAUCAACCUGGGAAUUGCAUUGGAGACUGCAAGGCUAGAAUCUGGCAGAGGGGGGUAGAAUUCCACGUGUAGCAGUGAAAUGCGUAGAUAUGUGGAGGAACACCGAUGGCGAAGGCAGCCCCCUGGGUCAAGAUUGACGCUCAUGCACGAAAGCGUGGGGAGCAAACAGGAUUAGAUACCCCGGUAGUCCCAU
RNAcentral lists this ribosomal RNA (473 nucleotides) under uncultured organism. RNAcentral describes it as "partial 16S ribosomal RNA". It matches the Rfam family "Bacterial small subunit ribosomal RNA", at positions 334 to 798 of the family's 1533-position model. The record is from RNAcentral.